GAUAAACGCUGGCGGCGUGCUUCAGGCAUGCAAGUCGAACGGGUGUCUACCUUCGGGUAGCCACUAGUGGCGGACGGGUGAGUAACGCGUUAGCAACCUGCCCAAAGGUGGGGAAUAACUAACCGAAAGGUUAGCUAAUACCGCAUGUGAUAGCUGGUUCUUGGACUGGUUAUGAAAGGCUUCGGUCGCCUUUGGAGGGGCUUGCGUCAGAUUAGCUUGUUGGUGGGGUAAUGGCCUACCAAGGCGACGAUCUGUAGCUGGUCUGAGAGGAUGGUCAGCCACACGGGGGACUGAGAUAC
This 299-nucleotide ribosomal RNA is filed under the name uncultured bacterium. RNAcentral describes it as "partial 16S ribosomal RNA". It matches the Rfam family "Bacterial small subunit ribosomal RNA", at positions 28 to 327 of the family's 1533-position model. The record is from RNAcentral.